UACGGAAGGCGCAAGCGUUGUUCGGAAUCACUGGGCUUAAAGAGCGUGUAGGCGGAAUGGUAGGUGCUUUGUGAAAUCCCUCGGCUCAACCGAGGAACUGCUUGGCAAACCCCCAUUCUUGAGGCAGGUAGAGGCGACUGGAACCUUUGGUGGAGCGGUGAAAUGCGUAGAGAUCAAAGGGAACACCGGUGGCGAAAGCGGGUCGCUGGGCCUGUCCUGACGCUGAGACGCGAAAGCGUGGGUAGCAAACAGGAUUAGAUACCCUGGUAGUCCACGCCGUAAACGAUGCGCACGAGGUACGGAAGCCUCUGACGGAGACCGUGCCGAAGCGAAAGCGAUGAGUGCGCCGCCUGGGGAGUACGGCCGCAAGGCUAAAACUCAAAGGAAUUGACGGGGGCUCACACAAGCGGUGGAGCAUGUGGAUUAAUUCGAAGCAACGCGAAGAACCUUACCUGGGUUUGAAAUGCUAGGAUGCAGCGGUGAAAGCCGUCUAUGCUGCCUUUGGUGAAACUAGCACAGGUGCUGCAUGGCUGUCGUCAGCUCGUGCUGUGAAGUGUCGGGUUAAGUCCCUUAACGAGCGAAACCCCUAUCGUUAGUUGCCAGCGGUUCGGCCGGGAACUCUAGCGAGACUGCCGGCGUUAAGCCGGAGGAAGGUGGGGAUGACGUCAAGUCCUCAUGGCCUCUAUGCCCAGGGCGUCACACGUGCUACAAUGGUCCGUACAGAGCGACGCGAUACCGCGAGGUGGAGCAAAUCGCAGAAAGCGGGCCUCAGUUCGGAUUGGAGUCUGCAAUUCGACUCCAUGAAGUCGGAAUCGCUAGUAAUCGCGUAUCAGCCAUGACGCGGUGAAUGUGUUCCUGAGCCU
Molecule: ribosomal RNA, 863 nt
Filed under: uncultured bacterium
Lineage: Bacteria
Description: bacterial SSU rRNA
Rfam family: Bacterial small subunit ribosomal RNA
Source: RNAcentral